This 1330-nucleotide long non-coding RNA is filed under the name Salmo trutta (river trout). Its description in RNAcentral is "lncRNA (ENSSTUG00000032476.1)". Lineage: Eukaryota; Metazoa; Chordata; Actinopteri; Salmoniformes; Salmonidae. The record is from RNAcentral.
CACUGACUUUCAACUCCCUCUAAAGAUUUUCUAUGGGGUUGAGAUCAGGAGACUGGUAGGCCACUCCAGGACCUUGAAAUGCUUCUUACGAAGCCACUCCUUUGUUUCCCGGGCGGUGUGUUUGGGAUCAUUGUCAUGCUGAAAGACCCAGCCAUGUUUCAUCUUCAAUGCCCUUGCUGAUGGAAGGAGGUUUUCACUCAAAAUCUCACGAUACAUGGCCCCAUUCAUUCUUUCCUUUACACGGAUCAGUCGUCCUGGUCCCUUUGCAGAAAAACAACCACAAAGCAUGCUGUUUCCACCCCCAUGCUUCACAGUAGGUAUGGUGUUCUUUGGAUGCAACUCAGCAUUCUUUGCCCUCCAAACACGACGAGUUGAGUUUUUACCAAAAAGUUAUAUUUUGGUUUCAUCUGACCAUAUGACAUUCUCCCAAUCCUCUUCUGGAUCAUCCAAAUGCUCUCUAGCAAACGUCAGACGGGCCAGGACAUAUACUGGCUUAAGCAGGGGGACACGUCUGGCACUGCAGGAUUUGAGUCCCUGGCGGCGUAGUGUGUUACUGAUGGUAGGCUUUGUUACUUUGGUCCCAGCUCUCUGCAGGUCAUUCACUAGGUCCCCCCGUGUGGUUCUGGGAUUUUUGCUCACCGUUCUUGUGAUCAUUUUGACCCCACGGGGUGAGAUCUUGUGUGGAGCCCCAGAUCGAGGGCGAUUAUCAGUGGCCUUGUAUGUCUUCCAUUUCCUAAUAAUUGCUCCCACAGUUGAUUUCUUCAAACCAAGCUGCUUACCUAUUGCAGAUUCAGUCUUCCCAGCCUGGUGCAGGUCUACAAUUGUGUUUCUGGUGUCCUUUGACAGCUCUUUGGUCUUGGCCAUAGUGGAUUUGGAGUGUGACUGUUUGAGGUUGUGGACAGGUGUCUUUUAUACUGAUAACAAGUUCAAACAGGUGCCAUUAAUACAGGUAACGAGUGGAGGACAGAGGAGCCUCUUAAAGAAGAAGUUACAGGUCUGUGAGAGCCAGAAAUCUUGCUUGUUUGUAGGUGACCAAAUACUUAUUUUCCACCAUAAUUUGCAAAAAAAUUCAUUAAAUAUCCUACAAUGUGGUUUUCUGGAUUUCUUUUCUCAUUUUGUCUGUCAUAGCUGACGUGUACCUAUGAUGAAAAUUACAGGCCUCUCUCAUCUUUUUAGGUGGGAGAACUUGCACAAUUGGUGGCUGACUAAAUACUUUUCCCCACUGUAUUUCGCGCCACGCGAUUCCACUGGCUGUGGACUAGGGUGGGACGCAAACGUCCCACCUAGCCCACAGAAGUUAAGGCACAACCGGUAAAAGUGAACACAUAUC